Molecule: microRNA, 23 nt
Filed under: Monodelphis domestica (gray short-tailed opossum)
Lineage: Eukaryota; Metazoa; Chordata; Mammalia; Didelphimorphia; Didelphidae
Description: mdo-miR-599-5p
Gene: mdo-miR-599-5p
Source: miRBase by way of RNAcentral
UUUGAUAAUCUGACAUGGGACAG